AACGAACGCUGGCGGCGUGCUUAACACAUGCAAGUCGAGCGGGGAAAGUUUCCUUCGGGAAGCGAGUACAGCGGCAGACGGGUGAGUACAACGUAGGUAACCUACCCUCGAGACCGGGAUAACCUGUCGAAAGACGGGCUAAUACCGGAUAAGACCACAAGGGCUGCGGCCUUUGAGGUAAAAGAUGGCCUCUGCUUGCAAGCUAUCACUUGGGGAUGGGCCUGCGCGCCAUUAGCUAGUGGUGAGGUAACGGCUCACCAAGGCAAAGAUGGCUAGCUGGUCUGAGAGGAUGGCCAGCCACACUGGGACUGAGACACGGCCCAGACUCCUACGGGAGGCAGCAGUGGGGAAUAUUGCGCAAUGGGCGAAAGCCUGACGCAGCGACGCCGCGU
This 392-nucleotide ribosomal RNA is filed under the name uncultured bacterium. Its description in RNAcentral is "bacterial SSU rRNA". It matches the Rfam family "Bacterial small subunit ribosomal RNA", at positions 29 to 402 of the family's 1533-position model. The record is from RNAcentral.